Molecule: unclassified non-coding RNA, 331 nt
Filed under: soil metagenome
Description: partial contains 5.8S ribosomal RNA, internal transcribed spacer 2, and large subunit ribosomal RNA
Rfam family: 5.8S ribosomal RNA (bases 1-122)
Source: RNAcentral
GAUGAAGAACGUAGUGAAAUGCGAUACGUAAUGUGAAUUGCAGAUCUCUCAGUGAACCAUCGAAUUUUUGAACGCACAUUGCGCCCCCUGGUAUUCCGGGGGGCAUGCCUGUCCGAGCGUCAUUACAACCCUCAAGCUCAGCUUGGUGUUGGGCCCCGCCGCCCCGGCGGGCCCUAAAGUCAGUGGCGGUGCCGUCCGGCUCCGAGCGUAGUAAUUCUUCUCGCUCUGGAGGUCCGGUCGUGUGCUCGCCAGCAACCCCCAAUUUUUUUCAGGUUGACCUCGGAUCAGGUAGGGAUACCCGCUGAACUUAAGCAUAUCAAUAAGCGGAGGA